GAUGAACGCUGGCGGCGUGCUUAACACAUGCAAGUCGAACGGGAUCCAAGGGGUGCUUGCACUUUUUGGUGAGAGUGGCGAACGGGUGAGUAACACGUGAGUAACCUGUCCUUUUCUUUGGGAUAAGCAUUCGAAAGGGUGUUUAAUACCUUAUGUUCUGCCUGCCUCGCAUGGGGUGGGUGGGAAAGGCUUUGGCCGGAUUUGGGUGGGCUCGCGGUCUAUCAGCUUGUUGGUGGGGUGAUGGCUUACCAAGGCUUUGACGGGUAGCCGGCCUGAGAGGGUGGUCGGUCACAUUGGGACUGAGAUACGGCCCAGACUCCUGCGGGAGGCAGCAGUGGGGGAUAUUGCACAAUGGGCGAAAGCCUGAUGCAGCGACGCCGCGUGGGGGAUGAAGGCCUUCGGGUUGUAAACUUCUUUUGCUCUGAACAAGGCAUGCCAGUGGGUGUGUUGAGUGUAGGGGUUGAUUAGCGCCGGCUAACUACGUG
RNAcentral lists this ribosomal RNA (485 nucleotides) under uncultured bacterium. Its description in RNAcentral is "partial 16S ribosomal RNA". It matches the Rfam family "Bacterial small subunit ribosomal RNA", at positions 28 to 507 of the family's 1533-position model. The record is from RNAcentral.